CCGGCGGGGCGGGUGGGGGCGGUUGCGUGUGAGGGCUGAGGGUGCGGCCCCGCUGCUGCCCGGGCUGCGGAGGGGAGAGCGCCUUGGCCGCUGGCCGUGCCCUCCCUGGGGCUCAGCUCAGGUCCGUGCCCAGCGGCUGGUGGAGUGUGGCGAGUUGUGCUUCCUGCCGGGCGGGAGCUGCCUUGGGAAGCUGCUCUGUCCCCACGGCUGUGCCGAGCUGGGAGCUUGGACAGCAGGAUGUCGAGUGCCACCGUGUCCCUGAGGUCCCCCUUUCUCCUGUUGGGAGAGCACGAGGCGGAUGGAGAGGAUCCCCAGGCAUCUGCAGGAACAAGGGACUUCUAUGACUCCAACUUGCCUACUGCAGAUGUAGGAUGGACUUUCAAGAUAGCAUUGGGAAUGUGCCAGCACUCUCCUGCUGGAGUUUUUGUCUGCUGUAUUUGAACACAAUGAGUAAAACUGAAGUCAGGCAGAAGAGCCCAGGCCUGAGAUGGCUGAGUGUUGGUGUGAGCCACAGUGGGUGUCCCUGCCCUCGGGACAGUCCCCAGAGCUGCCUUUGGCAUCCCCUGCUGAAGGGUGGGAGCUGCCCAGA
Molecule: long non-coding RNA, 589 nt
Organism: Pipra filicauda (Wire-tailed manakin)
Lineage: Eukaryota; Metazoa; Chordata; Aves; Passeriformes; Pipridae
Exons: 4
Source: RefSeq, a predicted model, not a curated record